This 255-nucleotide ribosomal RNA is filed under the name uncultured bacterium. Its description in RNAcentral is "partial 16S ribosomal RNA". It matches the Rfam family "Bacterial small subunit ribosomal RNA", at positions 99 to 354 of the family's 1533-position model. The record is from RNAcentral.
CGGACGGGUGAGUAACGCGUGGGCAACCUGCCUUACACAGGGGGAUAACACUUAGAAAUAGGUGCUAAUACCGCAUAAGCGCACAGCUUUGCAUGAAGCAGUGUGAAAAACUCCGGUGGUGUAAGAUGGACCCGCGUCUGAUUAGCUUGUUGGCGGGGUAACGGCCCACCAAGGCGACGAUCAGUAGCCGGCCUGAGAGGGUGAACGGCCACAUUGGGACUGAGACACGGCCCAAACUCCUACGGGAGGCAGCAG